UUACCAGCUGGGGUUCAGAAACGCGAUGGGGUUUAUUGUAAAGUGACAUUGCCCUGCAGAGAAGCUGACCGGUGUCCCCGUGCAUCCCUGGCUGAGGCGGGCAGGCGCCUGUUCCCCCCACGACCCAGGCUGGCUCUGCCCUUCUCCUGUGCCACAUCAACGCCACUUCUCUCCCAUUUCCCCACCGAAGGGGAGGUGGCACAGCGGCGAUGGAUGCACAGAAGCAGGCUUGUGACUGUGACACAUCUCUCGGUUGUUCCUGGAGGUGCUUUCCACCUACGCUUGUCCUUCAGCUCCAGCCCAAGCUGCCUCACAAAAGGAGCCCAGCACAGAACCAGGAGGAGUAGCCAAGUCAGCAAGUUUUGAGGGCCUAGGAUUGUUAGAACGUGGCUUUGCCAGGGCUAAAGGGAAGCACCUACAGCCGCCUGCUCUCCCUGGCUAUGCCUGGGGCCGAGAUGGCUCCCAGCUCUUCUUGCAGCACAGCCACCCCACAGAGUUUUGCACCACGGUGUUGUGAAGGAUGCUGCGUUGUGUGUGAAGCAGAGGGAGAUGACAGCUGCAUGCUUCGCUGCCAGAAGCAACACUGAGGCUGGUACAAGUUCAGACCUGACUGUGAAGUGCCAUGUGUGUGAGGUGGGAGGGUCAGGGGAGGCAAUGAUGCCUUCAAAGUUGACAGGACCAUUGACAAGGGAGCAGUUGCUCACUGGGAACUGAGGACGUGGUCCAAGAAGAAGCUUCAGGCGGAGCACAACGUGCCACCAUCUCUGGCAGCAUCAGCAGCACUAACAAACUGAGGAGAACAGGCCACGUGGUGGCUGAGGGUCAUUGAACAGUGAAUGCUGGAAGUAUUCAUCUGAACCAACAGCCUCAGAGUGUUCACACCCUUGGGGACAAAAGACUCAGUUUUAAACCUGAUGGUGUUUAAAGAAGCUUUAGAAUAUGCCAUCUUCCAAAGGCCCCAGAACCACCAACUACGAGGAAAAAUACAUUUUGAAAGCUUGAGGUGUUUAAGGCCCACUCAUACCUUCAGAUGCAUCCCACAAAUGAUCUUCAAAUGCUACAUAGCAUCAAUUAUGCUCUGAAAGUGCUGUUCUGGUCCAAAGAAACUCCACAUGUUUUCUGCAUGUUUCUCCUAUGUCUUGUCUGCAGAGCAGCUGAUCCAGAUGUGCCGCUCAAGAUUAAAGGGAACGCUCUCACUCAGGAAUAAAUGUGGGGUGGGUUUGGUUUAAUGUAACGAAGAGAAUGCGCUUUUUUUUUGCAUUUUGGCUCAAUACAGCUUCGCGUUACAAGUAUCCACAGAGGUAAUUCAGAAGGAUGCUCUAGUUUAGACUUGCACCCUGUGUAAUUAUCCACCAGGUGUAGGCUGAUCCUUGUGGCACCCAUGUGAAGCGUAAGCUGGAGGAUGGCUGACACGGCUGAGGCGUCGGGGCUUGCUGGGACCGGAUGAGCGCCAGCUCGCACCGACCCUGGUGGUAGGAGCCAGGGUAAAGAAGCUGGCAAAGUUUAGUCUCCCUUGCACAGCGUUGUCGGGAGCAGCCAGUUGCUGACUUGGAGCGGUAUUUCCUAAACAGCACGGCCCGUGCUUUUCCACGGCGUCUGCGUGUGCCUGCACGCAGAGCAGCUGUGUACAAAGGACACUGCACGCGUACCGUGCUGGUGGGCAAGGCUGGGUUUGCAACAGCGUGGCCGUGCUGUCUUCAAGAAGCAGCAAGAGGGAACCUGACUCCCCAGGUACUAAUGCAGUCGUGAAAAAUGAGCUGAGCCCGGAAAUAUUUUGAUUAUCCUUUUCCAAACAAAUCCGUAUUUGCAGAGGCUUGAUCUUUCCAUGUUUCUAGGUGCCAGACCUGGACGUGCUGACAGCAAGAGUAGUUUCUGGGGGAUGCUCAGUUAAGGCUUAAUAAUCCUGGAAAAAAACCUUUAGUCCUCAGUAGCGCGAUGGUCUGCGUUCCCCCACCACUCCCCCAGUGGACUGGCACCUUCGGCACCCAGACCUGAUGUGAACAUCUGAUGUGAUGCUGAAGGCACCGCGUAAACAGCAUGCCUCUGAUUUGAAUUUCCUUCUAACUGAAGUAUCAGUAUUAAAGACUCCAGCAUGAUUAUGGGGUCCCGUUGUGUAGGAAAUCGCCUUCAAUCCAUUCGACUGUAUCUGAGAUGAUUUCUUUCCCUUCCUGACCUCCAGAGAUUAUUCUGGAAAAACAAUUCUCAAGAUGCUAUGGCAGGGGGAAUAAAAAUAGCCGAACAGAUGAGCUGGUCUCUCUGAAAGUACAAAUACUUCCAAGUGCUUGUAGUGUAGAGAAAAUGAAGCCUGUAGCAGGAAACAGAAGGAAUCCCUAUACAAAAGAAGGAAAUUCGGGAAGAAUGACUAAUCUAGGAGAGGAAACUAGGUGCUGUGGCCAGCUGUUAGCAAGGCAAGUGUCUCUCAAAGCAUCAAGCCAAUGUGCCUAUCAUGGCAAGUGUCUCUCAAAGCAUCAAGCCAAUGUGCCUAUCCUGCCGGGCCCGGCAUGGCGGAUCCUUCCUGGUGGAGUAGGGCUGCUGGGAUCUCCCAGGGUCUUCAGAGACAGAGGCUCUGAGGACUGAAGUACUCCAUCUGAAGAAUGGUGCGGGAUGAAAUUCGAAAAUGCCUCUAAAAUGCCAACCUGGGAACUGCUUAUACCUGAAGGUGAUUUAGGAGGGAAGCCAAAUUUAAGCUUCCAGUGCUGGAAGCUGUUGCUUUUGGGAGGAGUGAUGGCUGAGAAAGAGCUUGCUGGCUCCUGUAGCCUCCUGUGGGUGCCUGCUGUGUGAUGUGAUCCUCUUGUUUCAAGAAAUGCCUCUCAGAGACAACAAAGAGCCCACAAUAAGCAAAAUACUUCUGAUCCAUUUUGCCCUUUCCAUCCAUCUCCCCUGUCAUGUCAGCAGAGCUGCCCUCCUUUCCCAGGGCUCCCAACCCUCAGGAAUUCCUGGGGAGGGGAGGUGUGGGGCUUUGGUUUUGGCUUUAACCGUUAGCUACCAAGAUUAUGCUGGGGAAUAGUUUGACCUGUUGGUGAAUGAGGGCUCAUACUUUAGAGAUGACGUGGCCACAGCACUCACAGGACUUUGGGGAAGUGAGAGAACAGAUAAGAAAAUAAGGAGGAGCUGAAAAACAGACGAGACUCAGAAAAGCCCUCGCUGUCGCUUCUACCUUGAGCAAAAGACCGGCCAUCGUUGCUUGAGGCGUGGAUGGGGAGAGAUUGAAAAAUAAGCCACUAAGCUUCCUGUCAUCUGCAGGUUUGUCCUGCCAAGAUGUGAGCUCAUCAAGUGGAACAAAUUCAUCAAGACCCCUCCCUCCCCGCCCCCCCAGCCUAUGCCUGACCUCAUACCUUUUAGAGAGCAGCGUCCCACAGGCUCUCUCUCUCCUCAGCAUAGACACUGGAGACUUUGCAAUGCUGUAAACACUUCCCCGUGGCCUUGCACAGCACUGGUGACCCACUAACAACUUGGUCACUGCCAACCCUUCCUCUUGGCACCCCUGCCUGUGCGCGAUGCUGGUCUGAAUCCGUUUCAACCCUGCCCACCAAAAGCUUGCUGCCACUGCCUUCAGGUUGGACUCGGUUGCUUCAGCAGAGCCUUCCAGCAGAAGUCAGAGUCAACAGUCUCCGACCCCAUCACCCUCCCGUACAUUGCCCUGUGGCAGAUUCAAAGACUUUGACCGCGCGUUGAGCAACCCUGGGAUCUGUAAUGCAGAGUUGCUGCUGCGGUCAGGUCAUAGCAGGCUCCAUGGCUCCAGGUCAGUGAUGGAUGGAUGUGCCAUACUCCAGACGAGGAUUUAUCUAGGCUAUUUGGGUUAUUCUAGGCAUCUACAUUAUCUCGGUAUUCAGUAUCCAUCCCUCUCCAUGAUCCAGGACUGGCAGAUAACCUCAUCCCCACAGCCUCGAAACUUUUAGCUGCUCCUUUUCUCCUCUCCAUCGCACGCCGCUUCUGCCCCAACGCAUCUCGCUCGAUUUCACUGUAUUCACUGAAAAGCGGUGUGAGAGUUCCCCUUAGCCUGCCAAAUUAUCACAAAACCGGAGCACAGCAUUCAGAGUGUUUUGUUUAACAAAAGCUGGGAGGCAGCCUGGUCUGUGGGGACGGGCUUUGGACAGAGAGUCGCAGUUGUCCUCGCAGCCACUGGCCCAGCUGGGACUUCCAGUGGUGAUCCUUGCCCGCAGGUCCCGGUCCCUGGCUUGCUUGAAUCCGGCCAAGGGGACAAAGAAGACAAGGCACAGUGGGAGCCCAUGGAAUAAGGGAGAUGGGCUUGUGAUGCUGAUUCCUCUCUUCUCUGUUUUAUGCAUCCUAAAACUCAUUUCCCCUGAUCCUUUAGGGUGUGGGUUGGAGGCUGCAGAUGGCAGACGGGCUCUACCCUUCAGUCUUUGAGAAGCAGAAGCCCUUUGUAGGCAGCAUCUUCAAAGGGAGAUGUUAUCUCUUUUCAAACAGAUGGCCUUCUGCCCCCCAGGAGAUCUCUUCCAAAGGGACAGGAUGCCCACCUGUGAGCAUGAGUACAUGGUCUGGAGCAGAGGCACUGAGGAUGGCUGGGUCCUUCUGGGUCUCGCCACUGUGGCUGGAUUCUUUCAUAGCUCAUAAGUAGUGAUUCAUGCUUGGGCCGUUCUUUGUGGCAGGGGUUUUUAUAACAGCUUUCUCUGAUGUAUAAGAGCUGAGUGAUGAAUUCUUCCCUCACUCAGGAUAUUUAUAGUGUCUUUCUUUCUUCUUGAGCGAGUCACCUAUUUUCGCAAGGCUCGUAGGCGCUUCGUGUCAGUGAGACUUCAGCUCCUCUGCCAAAUCUGGGGGAGACUGGCCAAAGGGUUCAAAAAUUGCUCAGGACUGGGGUGAUGGACUGGCUGGGGGGAUGUCAGGUCCCCGUUGCACAAGCCUUGCAUCUUAAGAAAUCAAGCUAAAAGCCAUGAGACUACGCAGUUCACCCUUUAUUUUUGGAGGCACCAAGGGUCACGUUUCCCAUCUGCUUCUCCACAGACGAGCAGGCUAACAUUUUGCUUCUCAGUUUGCACCGGACCUGGCUUCUCAGUAUUUUUCUGUGGAAGCUGGGAUGAUAUUGAUAUUAUCUCUUCCAGCGAGCAUCAGCUCUGACCGUCCAGAGCAUCUGGUGUGGGUUUAUUAUAGCUCUUCUGCUUACACAGAAUGGAUGUGGACCAGCACGGAUUUCUUUUCACCGGGGGCUUAUACUGCACUCUGGGUAAGCAAGUAUAGCUACCCAGCUACUUCUGUGUCCAAAAACCAUGUGUCUGGAUACCUGUAUUGACCUGGAGGGCUCAUGAAAGUAAGUGGACCAGGUCACCAGCUAAGUUGCCAAGAUGUCCAUCCAUCCAUCCAUCCAUCCAUCCAUCCAUCCAUCCAUCCAUCCAUCUCCCCUAAGCCACUGUUUGGUAGUCUCACGUACGGAGCUGGAGCCGCAGGAAUGAAUGCUUGCACAAUGGGGGUUUGAGCCUCAGGGAGGUCUCCUGUCUAAGCAGAAAAAAAAUGGCAGGUUUUAAAAUGCUUCAGAGCCAUUUGUGACUUUCUCCAAGGAGAGUUUUGUGUCUUCUGCAGGCUAUCAUCUCCCAUUGUGGGAAUAAUACAAAAUAGAAUAAAACUGAGAGUGAAACAGUAUUCUGAAGGCUUUUCCCAUCUGUACCUAUUCCACUGCUGCUGGC
Molecule: long non-coding RNA, 5639 nt
Organism: Grus americana (Whooping crane)
Lineage: Eukaryota; Metazoa; Chordata; Aves; Gruiformes; Gruidae
Exons: 3
Source: RefSeq, a predicted model, not a curated record